RNAcentral lists this ribosomal RNA (1394 nucleotides) under Microbacteriaceae bacterium L6B. RNAcentral describes it as "16S ribosomal RNA". It matches the Rfam family "Bacterial small subunit ribosomal RNA". The record is from RNAcentral. Lineage: Bacteria; Bacillati; Actinomycetota; Actinomycetes; Micrococcales; Microbacteriaceae.
UGAGUAACACGUGAGUAACCUGUACUGGACUCUGGGAUAACCCCCAGAAACCGGAGCUAAUACCGGAUAGGACCUGGAACCGCAUGGUUUUGGGUGGAAAGUUUUUUCGGUCUGGGAUGGACUCGCGGCCUAUCAGCUUGUUGGUGAGGUAAUGGCUCACCAAGGCGUCGACGGGUAGCCGGCCUGAGAGGGUGACCGGCCACACUGGGACUGAGACACGGCCCAGACUCCUACGGGAGGCAGCCGUGGGGAAUAUUGCACAAUGGGCGAAAGCUUGAUGCAGCAACGCCGCGUGAGGGAUGACGGCCUUCGGGUUGUAAUACCUCUUUUAGUAGGGAAGAAGGGCUUCGGCUUGACGGUACCUGCAGAAAAAGCACUGGCUAACUACCUGCCAGCAGCCCGCGGUAAUACGUAGGGUGCGAGCGUUGUUCGGAAUUAUUGGGCGUAAAGCGCUCGUAGGCGGUUUGUCACGUCUGGCUGUGAAAUCCCCCAGGCCUCAACCCUCCGGGCCCGCAGUGGGUACGGGCAAGACUGGAGUGCGGUAGGGGAGAUUGCAAUUCCUGGUGUAGCGGUGGAACGCUCAGAUAUUCAAGAGGAACCACGAUGGCGGAAGGCACCUCCUCUCGGCCGUAACUGACGCUGAGAAGCGAAAGCGUGGGGGAGCGAACAGGAUUAGAAUACCUGGUAGUUCCACGCGUAAACGUUGGGCGCUAGAUGUGGGGAACCAUUCCACGGUUUCCGUGUAGUAGCUAACGCAUUAAGCGCCCCGCUUGGGGAGUACGGCCGCAAGGCUAAAACUCAAAGGAAUUGACGGGGCCCGCACAAGCGGCGGAGCAUGCGGAUUAAUUCGAUGCAACGCGAAGAACCUUACCAAGGCUUGACAUAUACGAGAACGCCGCAGAAAUGUGGAACUCUUUGGACACUCGUAUACAGGUGGUGCAUGGUUGUCGUCAGCUCGUGUCGUGAGAUGUUGGGUUAAGUCCCGCAACGAGCGCAACCCUCGUCGUAUGUUGCCAGCACGUAAUGGUGGGAACUCAUAUGAGACUGCCGGGGUCAACUCGGAGGAAGGUGGGGAUGACGUCAAAUCAUCAUGCCCCUUAUGUCUUGGGCUUCACGCAUGCUACAAUGGCCGGUACAAAGGGCUGCGAUGUCGUAAGGCGGAGCGAAUCCCAAAAAGCCGGUCUCAGUUCGGAUUGAGGUCUGCAACUCGACCUCAUGAAGUCGGAGUCGCUAGUAAUCGCAGAUCAGCAACGCUGUGGUGAAUACGUUCCCGGGCCCAGUACACACCGCCCGUCAAGUCAUUAAUUCGGUAACACCCGAAGCCGGUGGCCUAAACCCUUGUGGAGGGAGCCGUCGAAGGUGGGAUCGGUGAUUAUGAUUAAGUCGAACAAGGU